GUAUGCGGAAUCUUGUCCUUUCGGUCAUGACCCAAAGCUCAUGACCAUAGGUGAGAGUAGGAACGUAGAUUGACUGGUAAAUCGAGAGCUUCGCCUUGCGGCUCAAGCAUAAGGGUGUCCAUCAGUGCAUGUGGCACCAGGACACCCUAGGCCGCAGGUCGAUGAUCGAAUUUGUUAUCGUCUCAUCUGACCUGCGGCCGAAUGUCUUGGACACUCGGGUGAAGAGAGGGGCGGAGCUGUCAACUGAUCACCACCUGGUGGUGAGUUGGAUCCGAUGGCGGGGGAGGAAGCUGGACAGACUCGGCAGGCCCAAGUGUACUGUAAGGGUCUGCUGGGAACGUCUGGCCGAGUCUCCUGCCAGAGAGAUCUUUAACUCCCACCUCCGGCAGAGCUUCGACUGGAUCCUGAGGGAGGCUGGAGAUAUUGAGUCCGAGUGGACCAUGUUCUCCACCGCCAUUGUCGAAGCGGCCGCUCGGAGCUGUGGCCGUAAGGCCUCCGGUGCCUGUCGAGGCGGCAAUCACCGAACCCGGUGGUGGACACCGGAUGUAAGGGAUGCCGUCAAGCUGAAGAAGGAGUCCUAUCAGGUCUGGUUGGCUUGUAGGACUCCUGAGGCAGCUGACGGGUACCGACAGGCCAAGCGGGCUGCAGCCCGGGUGGUUGUGGAGGCAAAAACUCGGGCCUGGGAGGAGUUCGGUGAGGCCAUGGAGAAGGACUUUCGGCUGGCCUCGAAGAGAUUCUGGCAAACCAUCCGGCGCCUCAGGAGAGGGAAAAAGUGCCCUACCAAUGCUGUUUACAGUAGAGGUGGGCAGCUGUUGACCUCAACUGAGGAUGUCAUCGGGCGGUGGAAGGAGUACUUCGAGGAUCACCUCAAUCCUGCUGUCACGUCUUCCAUUGAGGAAGCAGAGGAUGACGGCUCAGAGGUGGACUCGUCCAUCACCCGGGCAGAAGUCACAGAGGUGGUCAAGAAACUCCUCUGUGGCAAGGCACCGGGGGUGGAUGAGAUCCGCCCUGAGUACCUCAAGUCUUUGGCUGUUGUGGGGCUGUCUUGGUUGACACGGCUGUGCAACAUCGCGUGGCGGUCGGGGACAGUGCCUCUGGGAUGAUUUUUAUGGACAGAAUUUCUAGGCGCAGCCAGGGGCCGGAGGGUGUCAGGUUUGGGGACCACAUGAUUUCGUCUCUGCUCUUUGCGGAUAAUGUUGUCGUAUUGGCCCCUUCAAACCAGGACCUUCAGCAUGCACUGGGAUGGUUUGCAGCCGAGUGUGAAGCGUUUGGGAUGAAAAUCAGUACCUCCAAAUCCGAGGCCAUGGUCCUCAGUCGGAAAAGGGUGGCUUGCCCACUUCAGGUUGGUGGAGAGUGCCUGCCUCAAGUGGAGGAGUUUAAGUAUCUAGGGGUCCUGUUCACGAGUGAGGGAAGGAAGGAACGGGAGAUUGACAGACGGAUCGGUGCAGCUUCUGCAGUAAUGCGGUUGAUGUAUCGGUCUGUCGUGGUGAAGAAAGAG
This is a long non-coding RNA of Esox lucius (northern pike), 1498 nucleotides long. NCBI's taxonomy places the organism in Eukaryota, Metazoa, Chordata, Actinopteri, Esociformes, Esocidae. The record is from Ensembl.